GCCACCUUCUUGUUUUAAUAAGGAAGAAGAACAAGGAGGAGAAGAAGUAGUAGUAGUAGAAGAAGAAGAAGCCCUACGGGACCAACCUAAAUUGGUAGAAUUAAGGAAGUUUUUAGUUCCCCUGCUAAUUCUGAGAUAUAUAGAAAGCUUGCAUUUUUCAAGCACCUUUGGCGAUUUGCUUCCAGCGGCUCAACAUCUCCCCGACAGCAGAGACACCUUCGCAGCUCAUUUCCCAGAGGGUGACGAAGACAUGGGUGAAGGUGAUUACGAAAUUUGAAUACGUCUGCAGGAGUUAAAGAGUGUGGACAUCAAACCUGCAGUCAUUCUGGCCAAACUGAUUUUCAGCAGAGGAGGAGUGCAACACUUCCUGUUGCGACGUACCCUGUAUCCUGUUUUCCACAGUCAGUGGUCAUGCGUGUCAUUCCCCCCUCUGCAGCAGCACUACUCUGGUGGGAAGAAACCRCAGGCAGCGAUGAAUACCGCAGCGGGACGGGAGGGGUUUCCCAGGAGCUCGGCACAGUGUGUGUCAAGGGGCUAUGAAAAGUGUGUGCGAAAAUGAACGCCGAACAACCAUGUAAUUGUGCGUCGUCUGCCGAUCGGCCAUACUGAGCCCUAAACUGUUUGAUUGACAACCAAGGGGAAGGGACAUAGAUUGGUUUGAAUAAAAUGAAAGUUUGUGACAACUUAAAAUUUGCUUCUCCUAAUUUUUGAAAAGCACUGAAGAGCUUCUUUAAAGAGCUCACGAGCAACUGGUUGGAGACCCCUGCACUAGAAGUAUAGUUGGAGGUUAAUGACAGCUACUUCUACAUCAAACUGUAGCUAAAUAUCUCUAAAAAACUGAGUUAAAGACAUUUUUGAGUUAGCUGUAGCAGCCAUUUUUGGACUAUGUACAAAAACCUUUAAAAACWGUUGGAAACAAAUAUACAGCUGAACGUUACUGUCAAACUGUUUUAAAUAAUAACAUUUAAAGCAUCUCAUGUUAAAUCCUUAAGGGUUUUCUA
Long non-coding RNA from Austrofundulus limnaeus, 1001 nucleotides. RefSeq lists it as uncharacterized. Lineage: Eukaryota; Metazoa; Chordata; Actinopteri; Cyprinodontiformes; Rivulidae. The record is from RefSeq and is a predicted model, not a curated record. The transcript has 3 exons.